AAAAGAUUAGUUAAAAAUAUAACUUUAGGUUGUCAAUCUAAAAUUACUAGAUAUAGUAUCUUUUA
This 65-nucleotide transfer RNA is filed under the name Macromia manchurica. Its description in RNAcentral is "tRNA-Asp". Lineage: Eukaryota; Metazoa; Arthropoda; Insecta; Odonata; Macromiidae. The record is from RNAcentral.